Molecule: ribosomal RNA, 718 nt
Filed under: uncultured Bacteroidota bacterium
Lineage: Bacteria; Pseudomonadati; Bacteroidota
Description: bacterial SSU rRNA
Rfam family: Bacterial small subunit ribosomal RNA
Source: RNAcentral
CGAGAACGUUCUGGCUUUGCCAGGACAAGUACAGUGGCGGACGGGUGCGUAUCGCGUAGAUAACCUGCCCUUAGGCGCGGGACAAUCACGGGAAACCGUGGCUAAUACCGCACGUCGUCUGGGCCCCGCAUGGGGACCAGAUGAAAGCUUGGGGUUACCCAGGCGCCUUGGGAUGGGUCUGCGUUGGAUUAGCUUGUUGGUGAGGCAACGGCUCACCAAGGCGACGAUCCAUAGCUGGUCUGAGAGGACGAUCAGCCACACUGGGACUGAGACACGGCCCAGACUCCUACGGGAGGCAGCAGUGGGGAAUCUUGCACAAUGGGGUCACCCCUGAUGCAGCCAUGCCGCGUGGAGGAAGACACCCCUAUGGGGCGUAAACUCCUUUUCUGAAUGAAGAAACCCCUGUAGGUUCAGGGCGCGACGGUAGUUCAGGAAUAAGCACCGGCUAACUCCGUGCCAGCAGCCGCGGUAAUACGGAGGGUGCAAGCGUUGUCCGGAAUCACUGGGUGUAAAGGGUGUGCAGGCGGGGCAACAAGUCGGAUGUGAAACCCCAUGGCUCAACCAUGGAGGUGCAUUCGAAACUGUUGCUCUUGAGUCCCGGAGAGGCUGUCGGAAUUCGUGUGUAGCGGUGAAAUGCGUAGAUAUCACGAGGAACACCAGAGGCGAAAGCGGGCAGCUGGACGGGUACUGACGCUCAGGCACGAAAGCGUGGGGAGCA